AAAUAGCAGCGGUGUUAUCGUGCUACCAAAUUUGGUCUAGCGCGUUUAGUAGCUACCGGUAAAGUGUCAAGUAAUGAUACUGGGCUGGCAAACGGCUUAUACUCACCACCGAAAUGAAGCUUAUGAUGAAAUACUGAUGCUUGGCCAAUCUCACCAACGGGAUCUAAUAAGAACUGAUGCAGGUUUAUAACUACAUGUAUUGUUCAUCCGGAACAAAAUUAGUACGCUUUUUAUACCGAAGUUGAAUUUUCUCCAGAUACAGGCAACUUAUGUCGUUUUCGGUUUUAAACCUGGGUCAGGUCCGACCCCGACUCUGAAUAACCGAACGAAAAACGAAUCGGGAUCGAGUCAGUAUGAUGGUAUUAGUGAGAACUUAAUCCCUAUCAUCUGUUUUGUUUUCAAUUCGCACUUUUAUCAGCUG
Molecule: long non-coding RNA, 421 nt
Organism: Armigeres subalbatus
Lineage: Eukaryota; Metazoa; Arthropoda; Insecta; Diptera; Culicidae
Exons: 3
Source: RefSeq, a predicted model, not a curated record